Molecule: unclassified non-coding RNA, 348 nt
Filed under: soil metagenome
Description: partial contains 5.8S ribosomal RNA, internal transcribed spacer 2, and large subunit ribosomal RNA
Rfam family: 5.8S ribosomal RNA (bases 1-120)
Source: RNAcentral
GAUUAAGAACGCAGCGAAAUGCGAUAAGUAAUGUGAAUUGCAGAAUUCAGUGAAUCAUCGAAUCUUUGAACGCACAUUGCGCCCAUCAGUAUUCUGUUGGGCAUGCCUGUCCGAGCGUCAUUUCAACCCUCAGGGCCCGUUCGCGGGAACUGGUGUUGGGGAUCGGCCUCCCCCCGGAGGCCGGCCCCGAAAUGCAGUGGCGGCUCUACCGCGAUCUCCUCUGUGUAGUAGCGAUACCUCGCAGCUGGAUAGUGGUGGUGCCACGCCGUAAAAUCCCAACUUUACCAAGGUUGACCUCGGAUCAGGUAGGAAUACCCGCUGAACUUAAGCAUAUCAAUAAGCGGAGGA